RNAcentral lists this long non-coding RNA (414 nucleotides) under Nicotiana tabacum (common tobacco). Its description in RNAcentral is "long non-coding RNA (NTAB_LNC003717)". The record is from RNAcentral. Lineage: Eukaryota; Viridiplantae; Streptophyta; Magnoliopsida; Solanales; Solanaceae.
UCAGAUUCUUGAAUGAACUGAACUUCAGAGAAGAAAACAUAGCCUCGUUUGACUACUGCUUCUCCGGCUAAAACUAUGAGUAGACGCCGAGUUUCCUCGUCAGCUUGUCUGAAGUCUUGAGCUGAUAAGUGUUGUUCAAGAACGUCAAAUGGGGUGGUGGGGGUAGUGGGGGUGGUGGUGGGGGUGGUUGGGGUGGUGGAGGAAAGUGAAAAAGUGAUGAGAUUGUGAUUGGAAAAUGAAGUUGAAGAGGGGUUUUUGGUAAUUGGUUUGAGGAAAAAGGAAGAGGAAGAAAAAGGGCAAUCAAUAGAAUGCCUUCUCCUUAAUGUAUGGUGGUGAUGAAUGGACUUGAAAGAAUUAGUUGCCAUUUUCUUGAGAGUGAAUUGAGAUAGUUUCAACUUUCAAGGAAGAAGUGAA